AGAAGAAUAGCUCAGUGGUAGAGUGCAAGCUUAGCAUACAUGAGGUCUUGGGUUCAAUCCCCAGUACCUCCA
RNAcentral lists this transfer RNA (72 nucleotides) under Camelus bactrianus (Bactrian camel). It matches the Rfam family "tRNA". Rfam says of the family: Transfer RNA (tRNA) molecules are approximately 80 nucleotides in length. Lineage: Eukaryota; Metazoa; Chordata; Mammalia; Artiodactyla; Camelidae. The record is from Rfam by way of RNAcentral. RNAcentral also lists the same sequence under 2 other names.